Molecule: long non-coding RNA, 1516 nt
Organism: Mizuhopecten yessoensis (Yesso scallop)
Lineage: Eukaryota; Metazoa; Mollusca; Bivalvia; Pectinida; Pectinidae
Exons: 2
Source: RefSeq, a predicted model, not a curated record
UGUAAAUGUUCACUUAACGAGCUUGUGUUUAUCUUUGUAAUCAUAUCGGACUUGACUUGAUCAGCUGCUACGAUACCGGUGCUGAAAUCUGUGUGUUUACACUUUUGAGACACCGGAAGUGGGUGAUAGUAAUAACAGGAAUAGGUUCACGCUCCUCACUCGCAUGCUUUUAGAUGGUGAGGCUGGGUUCGAGAUUAACAGUUGGCCACUCAUCUUCGAGGCUAUUUGGUGGGAGGAGCAGGGGGUAUAAAACAGCGGGUCCGGGCUAGGAUCAGUGUCUUGACAGGGUCGAUGGUGAAGACAACGCUCCCAAAGAAGUUGAGUCAGACAACUAUGCCUUCACCCAACAAAGUGACAAGAAAGAAAUAGACUGGUAACAAAAGGAAAAGGAGGUGAAGGGUUUCCCCAUUCACCUACAUCCUCAUGAUCAAGUUCAGAUGAGGAUGAUAGCACAGAUUCCAGCAGCAGCAGUAGUUACAUUGACUCUGACUCUGAAAGGGAUUCUGAUAAUGAGCCAAAUCCCUGUUCUCCUGGUCUAUUGUCAUGUCCAAUCGCUAGUCAAGUAGAUACAAAAAUAAAAAAACAAAAUAUGGCAAAACAUAUAUGUUGAUUUUGCAAAAUUGUUGCCAAGCCAAAAGUUACGCAAUGGAAACACUGCAUUUCAAAUUCAGCUCCAGAGUGCUAACCGGUCACAAUUUCGGGUCACCAGGACCAAACAAAGGCCAGCACUUAAUACAAUUGAGCAAUGGAAAACUGCUUUCAUAAGAUUUGUCGCCAUUUAUUCAGGAAAAAAAAAAAAAAAAAAAAGAUCCUAAAGAAAUCCCACUGGUGUUAAAGCAUGGGGAAGUAGUUCGCGACAUGGCGGCUAGGAGAACAGGUACAACAUGACUGGAUUAUGUCCAGUAAGUUAGAAGGAAUGUGGAGGUCAGGUCCAUACCUUGGGGUUUUUUCCAUACUGAGAAUUGGGUAAUGGCAAACACUCCAAAGCAGCAUAUAGCCAUCACCAGAAUGAUCGGUCCUUUCGGGACCUACCCGGGGGGUUCAGAGCAAAGCAUAGACAAAUAGCCAUCGGUCAUUGCUUCGUGUUGCACAUUAGAGGGAAAUGUACAGUACAAUCCUGUCCAUUCCAACACACAUGUUUUCAGUGUGGCCAGUCCCAUUCAGUACUCAGCUGCUCACCAGGCAGCACAUUAAGGAAAAACAACGUUAAACCCUACCACAAACAUCAAACCAAAAACCAGCAGGCAUCAAAACAAAACUAGUGUCCCCACCACACUUGUUACACCUGUGCAGGUAGACAUUCUAAAGCUAUUUCUAAAAGGUUAUAUGAUAAAGAGCUUUCAGAAGUGUUGGUAGCUGGGUUUUCAGAGAGUAAUUUAGUUUCUGCUUUUCAGAAUGAGGAACUGGUAUCACAAAAAUUGAACAAGGAAAUUUCAUCGUGGAGGAUAGUGGGUCCUUUCCAUAACCCACCUUUUUAGUUCAUGCAAUGUUCCCCAAUUGGUUUAUUACCAAAAAA